Molecule: long non-coding RNA, 1760 nt
Filed under: Sus scrofa (pig)
Lineage: Eukaryota; Metazoa; Chordata; Mammalia; Artiodactyla; Suidae
Description: lncRNA (ENSSSCG00055014778.1)
Source: RNAcentral
GGAAAGAGACGGAGCGGUGAUACCAUCAGAAAGAGAUGACGUAAGAUGCUCUCAGUGACAGGACAACCACAGACAGAGAAGAAGGAAGGCGGGGUCACAUGGUGACAUGGCCAGGCUGGCGGCCCAAAGUUCCCAUCCUGACCGGGGUCACCAACAACCGCCGAUGGUUCGAUGGGAAGAGCACUCUGCAAGGAGGUGCCUGCUCUUGAGCGGGUCACACAGCAGGAGAGACACUGACAUACGGUGAGUGAUAAAGGGACAGGAGAGGAGGGACUGACGCUAAGACGGGGCGUCAAUGCCUCUCCUCCACAAGACCACUCAGCAGGCAACCGACCUCGGGGGUCUCCCUGCGGUACCCACAGGUCCCCCGACCCGCCGCUCCUAGGCCCCCAGAAUACCGGCCCUCCCCGUGCCUCUCCAGUGUGCCCUUGGGGGCAGCCCGCUCCCGGGCCCACACCGCGCCCCAGGAUGAGUCCUGCGUCUGGCAGUACCACAUCCACGGCCCAAACCCGCUCCUCUGCUCUCUGCCUGCAGCCAGUUCCCUUCGAGGAGCUGCCCAGGGGUUCCAGUAAGUCGCCCUGCCCAGAUCCGCACACACCGGUCCCUGGGGCGCCGGCAGUUCCCGUCACUACUGGUAGCUGCCAGCCAGUUACAGGGACCCGCAUGAAAGGAGGCGUUCACGGGCUUGAUGUCACCGAUCGGCUUGUAUGGAGGCAUUAUUCCCAAGGUUCACCACACCCAGAUAAUACAGGCUUCAGGAGAGGGAGGGGACAUGUUUCAGGAGGGAGAGAAAGCCAUCUGCCCUCAGGACCUGUGACUCAGCCUCUCUCCUCGUAGGGACGAAGCAAGAAACGAUGGCUGAGAGCCUCCCAUGCACCUGGCACUUCAUCCCUGAGAGGCUCAACCCAGCACCUUUGAGCUAGGUACUGUCACACCCACUUUGCAGAUAUGGAAACUGAGGUAAAGGCAGGUUGAAUAAAUACCAGCCCCAAGAUUGACCCCAGAGGACUCUGGAUCAGACUUGGCACUGAUUCCUCCAAGUUCAGCACUGCCUGCCUGCUCCAUUCAGGCAGAAAGCACAAAGGCACCAAACAGGAUCCGAGGGGGAAUCAGACCCGUGUGAACAGUCUACAAAUGGACUAUUCUGUCCCAGCCUCAGAGCUUCUUAGGUAUAUGGCCUGUACUACACUGGCCACUAAGUUAUUUUGGAGAAGUAGCUGAGGGUGGCAGGAAUAAAGCAAGCUCACAAGGCAGAGACUGGAGCUGAAAUUCAGACUCUGCCCCUGUGCAAGCGUGAGCAAGUUGCCUAACCUACAUACUGGUCCUUAGCAAAGAGCCUGUACCAUCACGCCCGCAUGGGCUGGCCAUCCAGGAAAUGCUGGUUCUUAUUCUUUCUUCCGCUCUGUAAUAAGAUAAGAACCCACACUUAGUCAUGCUGUAUGUUCUAAGAAUGUAAGAAUAUAGUUAGGGAGCUAGAUAGCCAAGCCAUUCCCUGAAACUGUCAAAAAUGAGGCAGCCAACUGCAAACAAGCAGGAUAACAUGGGAGGAAAAAAUACUCAGGUUUCCUCUCAUGUAAAAGUGCCAUUAAAAACAAAUCUUCAGGAGUGUAGUAACAGGAGAAAGACAGGAGUGGUGGAAAAAAAUCGCCGUGGCUCAAGGUCACAGAAAUGCUCUACAUCAGAUUUCACCCCAAUUCCUAUGCCACCGGCCACCUCGCGUGAGCCAGCCAGAGUUCCAGAAACCCUCAUAUCACCACCAU